GGUCUCUUGGAUGAGUGGCUUAGUCACCGGUCUGCAAAACCGCUUACUCCGGUUCGAAUCCGGAAGAGACCU
This 72-nucleotide transfer RNA is filed under the name Bacteroidales bacterium. Its description in RNAcentral is "tRNA-Cys". It matches the Rfam family "tRNA". From Rfam's summary of the family: Transfer RNA (tRNA) molecules are approximately 80 nucleotides in length. Their secondary structure includes four short double-helical elements and three loops (D, anti-codon, and T loops). Further hydrogen bonds mediate the characteristic L-shaped molecular structure. tRNAs have two regions of fundamental functional importance: the anti-codon, which is responsible for specific mRNA codon recognition, and the 3' end, to which the tRNAs corresponding amino acid is attached (by aminoacyl-tRNA synthetases). tRNAs cope with the degeneracy of the genetic code in two manners: having more than one tRNA (with a specific anti-codon) for a particular amino acid; and 'wobble' base-pairing, i.e. permitting non-standard base-pairing at the 3rd anti-codon position. Lineage: Bacteria; Pseudomonadati; Bacteroidota; Bacteroidia; Bacteroidales. The record is from RNAcentral.